GACGAACGCUGGCGGCGUGCUUAACACAUGCAAGUCGAACGAUGAACCCGGAGCUUGCUCUGGGGGAUUAGUGGCGAACGGGUGAGUAACACGUGAGUAACCUGCCCUGGACUCUGGGAUAAGCGUUGGAAACGACGUCUAAUACCGGAUAGGACCUUGGAUCGCAUGAUCUGGGGUGGAAAGUUUUCUCGGUCUGGGAUGGACUCGCGGCCUAUCAGCUUGUUGGUGAGGUAAUGGCUCACCAAGGCGUCGACGGGUAGCCGGCCUGAGAGGGUGACCGGCCACACUGGGACUGAGACACGGCCCAGACUCCUACGGGAGGCAGCAGUGGGGAAUAUUGCACAAUGGGCGAAAGCCUGAUGCAGCAACGCCGCGUGCGGGAUGACGGCCUUCGGGUUGUAAACCGCUUUUAGUAGGGAAGAAGGGCUUCGGCUUGACGGUACCUGCAGAAAAAGGACCGGCUAACUACGUG
Molecule: ribosomal RNA, 472 nt
Filed under: uncultured bacterium
Lineage: Bacteria
Description: partial 16S ribosomal RNA
Rfam family: Bacterial small subunit ribosomal RNA
Source: RNAcentral